UGGUGUAGAGCAGCGGAGUGA
RNAcentral lists this unclassified non-coding RNA (21 nucleotides) under Mus musculus (house mouse). Its description in RNAcentral is "oocyte_clustered_small_RNA10034". Lineage: Eukaryota; Metazoa; Chordata; Mammalia; Rodentia; Muridae. The record is from RNAcentral.